AAAAAUCUCUCGUCGUCCUCCGACUAUGCUCGGGGUCCACUACCUGUAACAUAAAAAGCUGAGUGGAUCAGGCUUGGGAGCCUGGUGAGCAUAUAGGGUUUUCAACCCACAAUAAUAAUAAACUUAUUAAGUUCAUCAAUCAACAAUAACCCUGAUUACCCGUUCCCAUUAUCCUCACUUUACGUCCCUAAACACUUUUCACAAGGGACCUAGCCUAAAGAAUAUCAUCGGGAUGGACACUACUGCUAAGGGGUUUCCUCAGCCAUACAUGUCCUAAAGGCAACCAUGAGGGGGAUGGAGUACAGCGAAUGAACACUCUUAGUUCAUUAACACCUACAGGUUGCGGACCUGCUAAUGUUUCCCACUGGACUGUCUAGAAAGUCCGUGGUCGUCAUCCAAACUCCGCUAGAUGACUGGAUCUCAAAACACAUCGAGGCCUCUCAUCAAUUUUAUUUUAUCACACAUCACAAUCUACCCAUGUUCUACCCAACAUAUUUGUAGAUAAAAAUACUUAUACAGUUUAAAACUUGUAUAAAACAUCAACACAACAAUCACCUCAAAUAAAUAAUUAAUAUAUUUACACAUAGCACGUAUUAUAAGGUAAAUACUUCAUAUCUAUGUGUAAAAUGAAAGUGACUAUACACUCACAUGAUUUGAUGAUAAUCGGGCAGCAAUUCGUUUCCUAAAACGAUCGUUUCUAAUAAAACCGGGAGUUUUAUUGAGAAACCGGGCUUUGUAAAAGUCGGGCUUCGAAACCGAAAAGAUAAAUUUUCCGGGCUUCUCGGGCACUUCGUGGGGUAUUCCGGGCUUUACAAUCGAUACCGGGGCUUUGCGGGAUGUUAAUAUGAAGAAAAUAUGGGUUUAGGGGCUAAAUAUGGCAAAAUUCCAAAAAUACCCGGGAGGUCUCGCACCCUCCUAUUUAUAGGGGGAAGCUUCUGAUCGGACGGUCAGGAGUCUUCUGAUCCGACGGCUGAGAAGGCUCGCAGAGGGGGAGGCUCGCAUGAGGGCUGCGCGUGCGAAGGGCUCUCUGGCGGCUUGUGAUUGGACCGAGGUCUAGGGUCCGAAGUAGGGGGUUCGUGGCGCCUGCGAGGGUUCGGACUCAUGAGUCACUACACACGCGUCGGAUGCGAGGCUCGCCACCGAGGCUUCUACGUGUAGUCAGCGGAUUGGACCGCAGCUCGGACUCGGAAGGACAUGACACGCCUCGCCAGGUGGCUUCGUGACUCAGCAGCCUGGUGACUCAGCAGCUUCGGUGACUCAGCAGCACACGUGUCACAUGCGAGGCGAGGGUGACGUGGCAAAGUGUGACUAUGCGAAAUUUCUCGGUUUUCGCGCCAAAACUUCUAAAAUCCAUAACUUUCGCAUACGAGCUCCGUUUUUGACGUUCUUUAUAUGCACGCGUAGCUAAAAUUACGAUCUACAACUUCCGUUUAGACUUCGUCGGCUAAUUUUGACUUUAAAUUUUAUAUUAUUAUUUUUAACAGACCGGGACAGGAAAUCCGUUAAAAAUUCAUAACUUCUUCAUCCGACGUCCGUUUUCGUCAGACUUUUUACCGUUGUGCUCCUAAUGACGAGACCUUCAAUUCUCGUUUAGGUUGUGUCGGCUAAAAAUCGCUCGAUCUAAAAUUCGAGUUUUUAGCUGUCUACUGCUACGCUGAAACUUCGAAAAAUCAUAACUUCCUCAUACGAAGUCAGAUUUGGGCGUUCUUUUUAUCGAACUUCUCGGUUUAACGAAUACUACAACUUUCGUUUAGAUUACUAAGGCUAAAAAGUAGUUUAUCAAAAACUCACUUUUUACGACAUUCAGCACCGUGCCGGUUUUGUCGCGAAACUUCGACAGGUCAUAACUUCUUCGUUAUAACUCGGAUUUUGGUAUUCUUUAUAUCCCCGAAAUCCUUGUUUCGACCACUACAACUUUAUGUAAAGAUAUCGGGCUUAUCUCACACUUUAAUUUUGACGCUUAUUUUUAUUCUUAAUUAAUUAAGCCCUAAUAAUUAAGCAUAAAACACAUAAUUCACAUAAUAUUCACAUAAUUCCUUUUCAUUUCUUCAAAAUGAGUUACAAAGGUUAACCUAGACUAUCAACUCAAUAUAAAUGCCUAGGCUAGAAACACGAGUGUUACAAUUCUCUCCCCCUUAGGAUGAUUCCGUCCCCGGAAUCACAUAUCACCAAACAACUGCGGGUAGCGACUCAUCAUGUCACUCUCCGUUUCCCAAGUGAGAUUUGGUCCAUUCGUAUGUUUCCAGCGCACAAGCACUAAAUCGACCAUCUUGCGUCGUAACUUCAUAGUCUUACGGUCAACGAUUGCCUCAGGUUCUUCGAUCAACCUCUUGUUUUCAUCCAACCUUAACUCAGAAAUCGGAAUUAUGUCGGGCACAUCUCCUGUGAACUUUCUCAAAUAACACACAUGAAAGGUGUUAUGAAUACCCUCUAGUUCUUCCGGUAACUCUAGCUUGUAAGCUUGAUUCCCGAUUCUCUGAAGAACUUUAAAUGGUCCAAUAAACCUUGGACUCAACUUCCCUCUCUUACCAAAUCUUAUAAGUCCCUUCUACGGCGAGACUUUAAGUAAAACUAAAUCUCCAACUUCAAAGUUUAUCGAUUGUCUUUUCUUGUUAGCAUAACUCUUUUGUCGAUCUUGAGCAGCUAACAUCCUUUCCCUUAUCACUUUCAACUUUUCGGCAAUCUCAUGGACUAUUUCAGGUCCCAUAAACUGCUUUUCCCCAGCUUCCAGCCAACAUGAUGGCGUUCGACACUUCUCCCCAUACAAAGCGUGAUAAGGUGCCAUCUUAAUGCUUGAGUGGAAACUAUUAUUAUAGGAGAAUUCUACUAAAGGUAAGUGUUCAUCCCAGUUACCUUGGAAUUCUAGGGUACAUGCUCUCAGCAUAUCCUCCAAUGUUUGAAUCGUUCGCUCGCUCUGACCAUCGGUUUGCGGAUGGUAAGCUGUACUCAAACACAACUUGGUACCCAAUUCCUCUUGUAGACUCCUCCAAAACCUUGAGGUAAAACGGCUGUCACGAUCGGACACAAUCGUUAACGGAACACCGUGAAGCCUCACAAUUUCCUUCACGUAAGAAUUCGCAAGUUUAUCCAUAGACCAUUUCUCUUUGGCUGCUAUGAAAUGUGCACUCUUAGUGAAGCGAUCAACGACCACCCAAAUCAUGUCGUGACCGUUCCUUGUUCUGGGCAGUUUAGUCACAAAAUCCAUGGUGAUGUCUUCCCAUUUACCCAUGGGUACGGGUAAAGGUUCUAAACUCCCAUACGGUUUCUGAUGUUGUGCCUUAACCCUAGCACAAGUUACACACUCGGCCACAUACUUAGCAACAUCGAGCUUCAUCGUCGGCCACCAAUAAUAGGGUUUUAGAUCCCUAUACAUUUUCGUACUGCCGGGAUGAAUCGAGUACAUGGUCUUGUGAGCUUCUUCCAUCAGAAGAUCUCUUAUUCCGCCCGUCUUAGGUACCCAAAUCCUAUCUUGGAAUACCUUCAACCCUUGGUUGUUUGUACCGAACACUAACGUUUUGCCCAAACGUUCUUCCUUUCGGUCAUUUUUCUCUAAAGCUUCCUCUUGAGCUUUCUUUAUACUUUCCACAAUUGUCGAGACAACUUCAAUUCUCAACGCUCUUGGCCUUUUCUUUUCAAGGUUUACCUUCCGACUGAGAGCAUCAGCAACAACAUUUGCUUUACCAGGGUGGUAAAGUAUCUCACAGUCGUAGUCUUUGAGUAACUCUAGCCAGCGUCGUUGCAUCAUGUUCAAUUCCUUCUGAUUAAAGAGAUAUUGGAGACUCUUAUGAUCAGUGAAAGUUUGCAUUUAGUACCAUAAAGAUAAGGCCUCCAUAUCUAUAAGGCAACUACUACCGCUGCCAAUUCCAGAUCAUGAGUGAGGUAGUUCUUUUCAUGUUCCUUCAAUUGCCUCGAUGCAUAUGCGAUCACUUUAUCCCUUUGGGUCAGAACACAACCUAACCCAACUCCAGAUGCAUCGCUAUAAACUGCGAAGUCAUCAACUCCUUCAGGCAAUGAAAGAAUCGGUGCUUCACACAAUCUCUUCUUCAACUUCUCAAAGGCUUCCUUAUGCUUCUCAUUCCAAGCAUAAGUAGCUCCUUUGUGGGUCAAAGCUGUUAAUGGAGUAGCAAUCGAAGAAAAGCCUUGGAUAAACCUUCGGUAAUAUCCAGCUAAUCCUAAAAAGCUUCGAAUCUCCGUAGGACUUUUUGGUUGUUCCCACUUCAUUACAGCUUCAAUCUUUGCUGGGUCGACCAUUAUCCCUUCUUGGUUAACCACAUGACCUAAAAAUUGGACUUCUUGAAUCCAAAAUUCACACUUGGAGAACUUUGCAUACAGCUUCUCCUUUUUCAGGACUUCUAGCACUUCACGCAGAUGCUUUUCAUGCUCCUGCUUGCUUUUCAAAUAAAUCAAGAUAUUGUUUAUGAAUACUAUCACAGGUUUAUCUAAGAAUGGUUUACAAACCCUAUUCAUCAAAUCCAUGAAAGUUGCUGGGGCAUUGGUUAGUCCGAACGACAUAACCAAAAAUUCAUAGUGUCCAUAUAUCGUUCUAAAUGCAGUCUUUUCGAUAUCAUGCUCUCUCACCUUUAGUUGAUGGUAUCCCGACCUAAGAUCGAUCUUUGAGAAAUAGCUCGAACCUUGAAACUGGUCGAACAUGUCAUCGAUCCUUGGCAAUGGGUACUUGUUCUUUAUCGUUACUUUGUUCAGCUCUCUGUAAUCGAUGCACAUUCUCAUGCUCCCGUCUUUCUUCUUUACAAAUAACACAGGGGCUCCCCAGGGCGAUGAACUAGGUUGAAUGAAACCUUUGUCCAAUAACUCUGGAAGUUGUGUCAUAAGUUCUUUCAUCUCUGUUGGGGCUAACCGAUAUGGUGCUUUUGCUAUCGGCGUCGUUCCUGGUAACAAUUCGAUACGAAAUUCUACUUGUUGAUCAGGGGGAAAUCCGAGAAGAUCUUCGGGAAAGACUUCCGGAUAAUCACACACCACCGGAAUAUUCUACACCUCCUUCUUUUCCAUCUUAGCAUCGAUCACGAACGCUAGAUAUGAUGUACAUCCCUUGGCCAAACACUUUCUGGCUUUCAUUAGGGAAAUGAUUCCAGAAUUUACUCUGCGUUUGUCUCCAUACACCAUAAACGACUCUUUCCCUGGCAGGUUUACUUUUACUAUCUUCUUUCUACAUAGUAUUUCUGCAUCAUUGGCGCUAAGCCAAUCCAUUCCUAAAACUAUGUCGAAUCCAUUUAACUCGAUAGGCAAUAAUUCCUCGUGGAACUUAUUCCCAUCCAAGUCAAUGAGGAUGUUUUUCAUACGAUGGCUAANNNNNNNNNNNNNNNNNNNNNNNNNNNNNNNNNNNNNNNNNNNNNNNNNNNNNNNNNNNNNNNNNNNNNNNNNNNNNNNNNNNNNNNNNNNNNNNNNNNNNNNNNNNNNNNNNNNNNNNNNNNNNNNNNNNNNNNNNNNNNNNNNNNNNNNNNNNNNNNNNNNNNNNNNNNNNNNNNUGCAGCGUCAUGUCAUCUGAAAGGCUCUUUCCUUUGGCUUUGGUGGUAGAUUGGGCUUUGCGGCAUCCUUCCUCUUUGGACAGUCUUUAAGAACAUGCCCUACUUCAUGGCACUCAAAACAUAUCCUCUUGUCGGACGGACACACGUUGGCAUAAUGCCCAGUCUUUCCACAUUUGAAGCAAGUCACCUCCUCACUACAUCUCCCAGAGUGCUUUCUCUUGCACUUCUCACACCAUUUCACUUCACCUCCUCCUCCUCCAAACUUCUUGGACUUAGAAAAUUUGCUUUUCUUGUUGGAACCCGAAGUUCCUUCAAAUUUUCUCUUUUCACCAACUUCUGCCCUCUCCAGACCCUUCUCCUUGAUCUGAACCUCGACAUUCUUAGCAGCCCAUAUGGCGGCUUUCAAAGUGGUUGCUUGCUUAACCAUCGGACCAAAGUCCGCUGGUAAUCCGAGGGCAAACUUGUUGACCUUAGAGAGUUCAGUUGGAACUAGAUGAGGAACUAGCUUCAUCUUUUCCAUAAAACUAGCAGCGUAUUCAGUAACGCUCAUCUUUCCUUUCUUUAAAUUCUGAAACUCAUUGUUGAUUUCCAGAAGAUCCUGCUCAGAGCAGUACUGCAAUUUCAGUUGGACCACAAAUUCUUCCCAAGACAUCUUACUAGCUUCACCCUUGGGCAUCGAAUCAGCUAGUAACUUCCACCAGCUCAACACACCAGACUUUAACAGAGGAAUUGCAAGUGCGGUCUUUUGUUUGUUGCUGCACUCGCAACUUUCAAACAUCGUCUCCAUUUCGGAGAUCCAAUUCAUGACUUCCACCGGUGUCGGACUUCCAGAUAGACACGGCGGUUUAGAUGCCAUGAAAUCUUUGUAUUUGCAUCCGCGUCCAUCAACUCCUCCAUCCUGGUUGUUUUGUCUAACUAUCGGUGGGUUGGCUUGACCAAGAGUCCCACUGUAGUUCCCUCCUACUGAUUGCCCUUCAUUCAAUACGGGCUGUUCAACAGGCAUCGUAGUCUCUUCCCUAUGUUGUUGUAGUAAUCGCCUUGUCUCCUCCAUUUGGCGAUCUAACAUCAUUUGCAUCAUUGCUUGUACCCCAGCCAUCGUCAUUGGCUCAGGUGCAGCUCCUACAACAGGUACUUGCUCAACUACUUGAGGUUGAGGCUGUUGAUCCCUGUUUCCGUUUGCAUUUGCAGCUCCACUACGAGUUAUGGCCAUUACAAUCUAUAUAACGAAUAAGGCGAAUUUAGGUCUUUAUCCUUGUUAGACAUGUCAAUUCCCUUAUCACUCCGAAACGUUUACAUGUUAGUUCUAAUCUCGUAAUCAUACGCUUAGAAUCCUACACACAUAAGGUUUCCAGAUCCGGUCGGCAACAGACCAUAGAUCCGAACAAAUAAUGGCACACAUGGCAAACACAUAGCAUUUAGCACAUAAGGGCAUUUUAGGCAUCUUCCCUAAAAUAAACUAGUGCUCGUGUCUAAAAUAUGGUAGACACUCAUCUCACAAUCAUCACUUAGCAUUCUAAGUUCAAGUCUAGAAAUUCUACAAUUUCUUAGUUCGCUUAAACUAAUGCUCUGAUACCAACUGUGACAUCCCCUAAUUUCUCGGCCAGAAAAGACCGAUUUAAUUUAUGCUUUUUAAAAUAAAAUCAGAGAAAUCUUUUUAAAAGAUGUUGCGGAAUUGGUCCCCAAACAAAAUAUGAUAAAAGUUUAUCAAAACCCUUCAUUAAGAAGGUAUAUGUUUUCCAUAUAUAUAUCAAAACCUCGGGAUGUCAUGUUCCGAUACAGAUCAAAAGCAUAAACAAGACAUUAUAAGCCUUUCAACAGUUAUUUACAACUACUGGCCUAUAAUCCAAAAAUCUCUCGUCGUCCUCCGACUAUGCUCGGGGUCCACUACCUGUAACAUAAAAAGCUGAGUGGGUCAGGCUUGGGAGCCUGGUGAGCAUAUAGGGUUUUCAACCCACAAUAAUAAUAAACUUACUAAGUUCAUCAAUCAACAAUAACCCUGAUUACCCGUUCCCGUUAUCCUCACUUUAUGUCCCUAAACACUUGUCACAAGGGACCUAGCCUAAAGAAUAUCAUCGGGAUGGACACUACUGCUAAGGGGUUUCCUCAGCCAUACAUGUCCUAAAGGCAACCAUGAGGGGGAUGGAGUACAGCGAAUGAAC
Molecule: long non-coding RNA, 7642 nt
Filed under: Lactuca sativa (garden lettuce)
Lineage: Eukaryota; Viridiplantae; Streptophyta; Magnoliopsida; Asterales; Asteraceae
Description: long non-coding RNA (LSAT_LNC009227)
Source: RNAcentral